RNAcentral lists this ribosomal RNA (427 nucleotides) under uncultured bacterium. RNAcentral's name for it is "bacterial SSU rRNA". It matches the Rfam family "Bacterial small subunit ribosomal RNA", at positions 355 to 774 of the family's 1533-position model. The record is from RNAcentral.
UGGGGAAUUUUGGACAAUGGGCGCAAGCCUGAUCCAGCCAUGCCGCGUGCAGGAUGAAGGCCUUCGGGUUGUAAACUGCUUUUGUACGGAGCGAAAAGACUCCUUCUAAUAAAGGGGGUCCAUGACGGUACCGUAAGAAUAAGCACCGGCUAACUACGUGCCAGCAGCCGCGGUAAUACGUAGGGUGCGAGCGUUAAUCGGAAUUACUGGGCGUAAAGCGUGCGCAGGCGGUUAUAUAAGACAGGUGUGAAAUCCCCGGGCUCAACCUGGGAACUGCAUUUGUGACUGUAUAGCUAGAGUACGGCAGAGGGGGAUGGAAUUCCGCGUGUAGCAGUGAAAUGCGUAGAUAUGCGGAGGAACACCGAUGGCGAAGGCAAUCCCCUGGGCCUGUACUGACGCUCAUGCACGAAAGCGUGGGGAGCAAACA